Molecule: ribosomal RNA, 316 nt
Filed under: Pseudomonas aeruginosa CIG1
Lineage: Bacteria; Pseudomonadati; Pseudomonadota; Gammaproteobacteria; Pseudomonadales; Pseudomonadaceae
Description: partial 23S ribosomal RNA
Source: RNAcentral
ACCAGGGGUUUUGCUUUUGCGCGUGGAAAAAGGCGUGCUUCCUCGCUUCUUUUCUCGACUGCGAAUGCCGGCGGCGACUGUCACAAUUGCCCUGGAAACUACCCAUCCUGCAUGAAACGGAUGGACGGCUACCUCCCCCAGGCGGAUCGAAAACGCGCUCCAGAGGGCCUCCCCGGCCCCUCCGUGAAAGGCUGGAGCCCUUGUGUUUCCAGGCUUUUAGGGGUGUGGCAGGGCUUCUCCCAAGGCUUGCGGAAAAAUGUCGGAAGGCUGAUGGCAUUUCAUCCAACUGUCACAUUCCUUUCAUAGAGUCUUCAUG